GAUGAACGCUGGCGGCGUGCCUAAUACAUGCAAGUCGAGCGAACAGACGAGGAGCUUGCUCCUCGGACGUUAGCGGCGGACGGGGGAGUAACACGUGGAUAACCUACCUAUAAGACUGGGAUAACUUCGGGAAACCGGAGCUAAUACCGGAUAAUAUAUUGAACCGCAGGGUUCAAUAGGGAAAGACGGUUUUGCUGUCCCUUAAGGAUGGAUCCGCGCCGCAUUAGCUAGUUGGUAAGGUAACGGCUUACCAAGGCAACGAUGCGUAGCCGACCUGAGAGGGUGAUCGGCCACACUGGAACUGAGACACGGUCCAGACUCCUACGGGAGGCAGCAGUAGGGAAUCUUCCGCAAUGGGCGAAAGCCUGACGGAGCAACGCCGCGUGAGUGAUGAAGGUCUUCGUAUCGUAAAACUCUGUUAUUAGGGAAGAACAAAUGUGUAAGUAACUAUGCACGUCUUGACGGUACCUAAUCAGAAAGCCACGGCUAACUACGUG
RNAcentral lists this ribosomal RNA (497 nucleotides) under uncultured bacterium. Its description in RNAcentral is "partial 16S ribosomal RNA". It matches the Rfam family "Bacterial small subunit ribosomal RNA", at positions 28 to 507 of the family's 1533-position model. The record is from RNAcentral.